This is a long non-coding RNA of Oreochromis aureus, 664 nucleotides long. RefSeq lists it as uncharacterized. Lineage: Eukaryota; Metazoa; Chordata; Actinopteri; Cichliformes; Cichlidae. The record is from RefSeq and is a predicted model, not a curated record. The transcript is spliced from 3 exons.
UGAUGAUGUUCAAGCUAAACCAAGCAGCACUGCUCUUCAUCGAGCUAUUAGUGAUGUGUCAUGUCUUUGAAGUAAUGCUUCAAAAUGAAAACGGAGCUAUGACGGUGCCCAGAGGAGACUCAGUGACGCUGACUUGCAACAUAUCCAAGGAAAAUGCCUCACUAAUCACCUGGACUAACGGCAGAUCAGUUUAUCAAUAUUCCAUUGUGCUGAAUCGCACCUAUUCAAGUUUCUCAUUGCACAGACUGAAAAUAAAUCAUGAGUUCCCUACAAAGCUAAUUAUUUUUAGUGCUCAGCCUGAAGAUGAAGGAAUUUAUGCAUGUACCAUAACAGGCCAAAGUGGUGUAAACAGCAUUACAUGGAAUUUAACUGUGUCUGAGAGUCCCAAAGAAUCUAUUCCAUCACAAUAUUUUCUAUACAUAUUUCCACCUGCAAUUGGAUUCCUUCUGUGUGGCAUCACGCUAGCUGUCUUCCUCUACAGGUGAGUAAAACCUUUAUAACUUUAUCAUCAAUGCAUGAAUGUUGCUCUUUUCUAUGCUGCUGCAGAACUGUUGCAAGUGCUUGUAAGACUGAUUUCGUUAUUAAACUUGAACAACAUUUUUUUAUUGUGUAUGCCUGCAUUUAAAGAGUUAGUUCAUCUCAAAUUACCAAUGAUUAUUUUUAC